AGCGAACGCUGGCGGCAGGCCUAACACAUGCAAGUCGAACGAACUCUUCGGAGUUAGUGGCGGACGGGUGAGUAACACGUGGGAACGUGCCUUUUGGUUCGGAAUAACUCAGGGAAACUUGUGCUAAUACCGAAUGUGCCCUUCGGGGGAAAGAUUUAUCGCCAUUAGAGCGGCCCGCGUCUGAUUAGCUAGUUGGUGAGGUAACGGCUCACCAAGGCGACGAUCAGUAGCUGGUCUGAGAGGAUGACCAGCCGCACUGGGACUGAGACACGGCCCAGGCUCCUACGGGAGGCAGCAGUGGGGAAUCUUGCGCAAUGGGCGAAAGCCUGACGCAGCCAUGCCGCGUGAAUGAUGAAGGUCUUAGGAUUGUAAAAUUCUUUCACCGGGGACGAUAAUGACGGUACCCGGAGAAGAAGCCCCGGCUAACUUCGUG
RNAcentral lists this ribosomal RNA (433 nucleotides) under uncultured bacterium. RNAcentral describes it as "partial 16S ribosomal RNA". It matches the Rfam family "Bacterial small subunit ribosomal RNA", at positions 29 to 507 of the family's 1533-position model. The record is from RNAcentral.